Oryzias latipes (Japanese medaka) is the source of this 790-nucleotide non-coding RNA. The record is from RefSeq and is a predicted model, not a curated record. NCBI's taxonomy places the organism in Eukaryota, Metazoa, Chordata, Actinopteri, Beloniformes, Adrianichthyidae.
GAAGGUUUGGCUAUCGUCCCGCAACAUCCCCAUUCAGGCGUCAUCACGUAAGCUGGCUCCCAGAUACAUCGGCCCUUACGUGAUUGAUCGCAUCAUCAAUCCCUCCUGUGUCCGCCUGCGCCUGCCUGCUGCUCUGAAAGUUCACCCCUCGUUCCACGUUUCCCAGAUCAAACCUGUCAGCGAUAGCCCUUUGUGCCCGCCGUCCUCUUCCCCUCCGCCCGCCCGGGUCGUUGACGGUGCGCCUGCCUUUACGGUCAGUCGUGUGCUGGACGUCCGGCGCCGUGGUAGGGGCUUCCAGUUUCUCGUGGACUGGUUGGGGUACGGUCCGGAAGAGCGCUCAUGGAUCUCCCGCUCUGUGAUUCUGGACCGUUCCCUGAUCGACGACUUCUUCCGUGCCCACCCGGACCGUCGUCCUGGACCGCCUGGAGGCGGUCGUUGAGGGGGGGGGUACUGACAUGGUGCCUCGGUCAGCUACCUGCCUCCUCCCCCCUUCCUGCUCUGCCUUGGAUGCGACCAGCUGGUUCCACUUACCUCAUCAUCUUCCCCGCCUUCUUAAGGAGAUCCAGGACCUUUCUUCGGUGCCAGUUCGUUGUUACUCCCACGGAACCGUCUUCAUCACAAGGGAACCUCGGGUCGCCGUCCUCUGCUCUCGCUCCUCAUCCUUCUCCUCGGACUCAGCCGAAGUCAUGCUCUCUGGUUCAUCCUGCCACAAACCUCCAGUCAGCCGCCACGCCGCAUCAAGAAUCUAGUUCUAUACUCACCUCCUGUGAAUUAAACCACCUUAACUUAC